Long non-coding RNA from Ruditapes philippinarum (Manila clam), 623 nucleotides. RefSeq lists it as uncharacterized. The record is from RefSeq and is a predicted model, not a curated record. Lineage: Eukaryota; Metazoa; Mollusca; Bivalvia; Venerida; Veneridae. The transcript has 3 exons.
ACAGAUAAGCAAAUCUAGGUUUACACAAUGUCCUGGAGUAAAAGAUUUUAUAAGCUGGACUGGAAUAUGGAAACCAAAAUACAAACAUACAAUUAAAUCAGACGAAAAUCUUCAUUUUAUAAUGAUAACCAACCAUAUAGGAAAGUCAAGAACAAAACUGUCAAAAUUAUCCGCAGAUCCAAGGAAAUUUAAUGCAAUAAAUGACGACAUGGAUCAUGGAAAACGGGAGUCUGUGGUAGCACAAGAACUGUUACAAAACUUCUAUGAGAAGCUAUUUCCUAACAUAUCACAGUAUGAAUUGAGGGGACCAUAAUGAUAACUACAAAGACAAGAACAAGGGAGAAAACGCUACACCCGCUUUAUCAAAUCUGUCUCGUGUUCAAAAUCUUUACUUUUAUCGUUUACAACAGUUUCAUAUUCAUUUGAUCGUUUAGUUUGCAUAUAUUUUCAUUAUUUUAAUUUUAAAUGUCCUUUUCUCAUAGAAAAAGAUAUACAGUAUCAGCAAUGUAUUAUAAUCGAUAUCUGAUUACUGAUAUAUAUGUUGACAUUAUUUUUUGUAGAAAAUGUAUUCAAAAAGAUGUAUGAAAACUGAUAUGUAGUUUGAAUGUCUUUUUGCCGAUCAA